Molecule: ribosomal RNA, 253 nt
Filed under: uncultured bacterium
Lineage: Bacteria
Description: partial 16S ribosomal RNA
Rfam family: Bacterial small subunit ribosomal RNA
Source: RNAcentral
UACGUAGGGACCGAGCGUUGUCCGGAAUCAUUGGGCGUAAAGAGCGUGUAGGCGGCCACUUAAGUCCUGCGUGAAAUCUUGCGGCUCAACCGCAAGCGGUCGUGGGAAACUGGGCGGCUAGAGUGCGGGAGAGGAGAGUGGAAUUCCCAGUGUAGAGGUGAAAUUCGUAGAUAUUGGGAAGAACACCGGUGGCGAAGGCGGCUCACUGGACCGUUUCUGACGCUCAGGCGCGAAAGCGUGGGGAUCAAACAGG